This is a long non-coding RNA of Lepisosteus oculatus (spotted gar), 849 nucleotides long. RefSeq lists it as uncharacterized. The record is from RefSeq and is a predicted model, not a curated record. NCBI's taxonomy places the organism in Eukaryota, Metazoa, Chordata, Actinopteri, Semionotiformes, Lepisosteidae.
UUUCCAGUAGGUAUGUACUACCCUGGACUAAGGGCGCUUCUACCAAGAUUUGACGUAUAGGAGAGCGAUUUCGAUCUUUAACCGUUGACUAACGGUAUCCGAAAUAUAUUGUUUCGGGGGUGGGAGGGUAACAAAACAAAAGUAUUGAUGGAAACCCUUUCAGAACCCGUCACACACUGCCCCAAGCGCAAAGGUCAGAGACAAGUUAAGCCUGUGUCUUGUCGCAGUGUCCAAGUCGAAGGAGAAAGACUGGCAGCUUUAAGUUGUGUUUUGGGCCUCCGCCUGUAGCCCCAGGAGCUCCUGGCAGCCGUGCUGUGAAGCGUCGCUGCGAGACGGAAGCACGGCAGUAAUUUGACAGCUGCGUUUGGCAGCGAAGGGCAGGGUGGGGUGGAGAGAUGACUGACGGCUGCAGCUGCCAAUGAGCUGCGUCCUCUCCUGCCCCCAGAGUGACUGACACAUGAAGUGACAGGUGCAGAUGCAGCUAAUAUACCUGCUGCUCCUCAGGAGCGGGUGGGCAGCGGAAGUAACUGACAGAUGGAGCCAGCUGCUAAAUAGUUGAUCCUGAACCUGCUGUUCAGCUUCAGUCGUGAGAGUCCUGCAACCCUGAAGAGCGACAGAGGAGUGUGGGCCCAAAAGACAUCUCUCUGGCCACGAGUGAGUACCUCACCAGACCCGUGCUGUGGGCUGAAGAGUAGCCUUGUGUGGAAGAGGUCUUCACAGAAAAACCGUGCUCUUCACUGGAGACUGCAGCUCAAGGGCACACAGACAGGGUCCAGACCUGCACCAGAAAGUAAACACAUUAUAGCCCUGCUGGGAACUGGAAAGUAACGCUCUUGUUACAAACACAGA